Molecule: ribosomal RNA, 275 nt
Filed under: uncultured bacterium
Lineage: Bacteria
Description: partial 16S ribosomal RNA
Rfam family: Bacterial small subunit ribosomal RNA
Source: RNAcentral
GCGUGAGUGAGGAAGGCCUUAGGGUUGUAAAGCUCUUUCGGCGGGGACGAUGAUGACGGUACCCGCAGAAGAAGCCCCGGCUAACUUCGUGCCAGCAGCCGCGGUAAUACGAAGGGGGCGAGCGUUGUUCGGAUUUACUGGGCGUAAAGGGCGCGCAGGCGGCUCUGCAAGUCAGGCGUGAAAGCCCCGGGCUUAACCUGGGAAUUGCGUCUGGGACUGCAGGGCUAGAGAUCGGGAGAGGAGAGUGGAAUUCCCAGUGUAGAGGUGAAAUUCGU